Molecule: ribosomal RNA, 261 nt
Filed under: uncultured bacterium
Lineage: Bacteria
Description: partial 16S ribosomal RNA
Rfam family: Bacterial small subunit ribosomal RNA
Source: RNAcentral
GACCGGCGCACGGGUGAGUAACACGUAUCCAACCUGCCGAUGACUCGGGGAUAGCCUUUCGAAAGAAAGAUUAAUACCCGAUGGCAUAGUUCUUCCGCAUGGUAGAACUAUUAAAGGAUUUCGGUCAUCGAUGGGGAUGCGUUCCAUUAGGUUGUUGGCGGGGUAACGGCCCACCAAGCCUUCGAUGGAUAGGGGUUCUGAGAGGAAGGUCCCCCACAUUGGAACUGAGACACGGUCCAAACUCCUACGGGAGGCAGCAUG